RNAcentral lists this transfer RNA (81 nucleotides) under Paragonimus westermani. Its description in RNAcentral is "tRNA-Asn". The record is from RNAcentral. Lineage: Eukaryota; Metazoa; Platyhelminthes; Trematoda; Plagiorchiida; Troglotrematidae.
GGCUUCGAAACUCAGCUAGUAGAGUGCUUGCCAUGUUUAGGCAUGCUGUUUCUGUAGCUGGUUCGAAUCCAGCCGAAGCCC